AUCACUCUUCUGUAUCUUAGCUCUUCUUUCUUUUUCUUCUUCUUCUUCUUCUUCUUCUUCUUCACUUUAUAUCGUCUCCGUUGAUUCUAUCUUCUCAAUUUUGGUGAUGGUUUAACCCAUCCUCCAGUCCGAAGUAUUUUGAUUUGAUUUGAUUUUUUUUUUAACUUCACACUGAGUUUUCGUAAAUCUGUUGUUAGUAUGUGAUUAUUAUCAUCAUCAUCAUCUAGCUUUGGUUCUCGAAUUCGAAAUUUCACUUCGUUAAUUAAAGACUCUUUUUUUUUUUCUUUCUUUCUGGGCUGAUAAAUUUGAUUUGUAGAGUGGGGUGAUUCCGUGGAUUUACCACCAAAGGGUGGGUUCAGCUUCGAUCUGACGCAAAAGGGUCUUAAAAGCUCCUCCGUCGUUUCUCAAGACUGGAUCAACUAUUGUUUUGUUGAUAUACAAGGUCUGUGUGUUUGAGUGUUUCUAUCUCACAUGUACUGCUGUGGUGCAGGAACCGCUGAAGCAGUAACUGGGAGACACGAAGGAAUCAAGUUGGUUUACAUUUUCCUGAGAGACUGAGUGAAAUCAUUAACCUCACAUUUACAUUUUCGACUUUGUUGAAUUUUUUUAUGUUUUAACGAUGUAGUUGCAUCCAGAUUUGGCUUGAAAUCAUUGUGAUUAAUGAUUAUGGAUGAUUCGGUUUUGAAA
Molecule: long non-coding RNA, 687 nt
Organism: Camelina sativa (false flax)
Lineage: Eukaryota; Viridiplantae; Streptophyta; Magnoliopsida; Brassicales; Brassicaceae
Source: RefSeq, a predicted model, not a curated record